RNAcentral lists this long non-coding RNA (939 nucleotides) under Capra hircus (goat). RNAcentral describes it as "lncRNA (ENSCHIG00010012193.1)". The record is from RNAcentral. Lineage: Eukaryota; Metazoa; Chordata; Mammalia; Artiodactyla; Bovidae.
GUUUAGUGGCUUGAUGAUGUCAGCAGCUCCGGUUUCAUUCCUGGCUAUCUUCCCUGGGCUGUCUUUGCCUUCUGGACAGCUUGCUUCCUAUCUCUAAGAUAGCAGCUGUUGUCCAGACCUCAACCCAGACCUCCAGCCGAGAAAACGCCCUACCACCACCACCAUCCAGCAGACCUCCUGCUCAAGACUUAAACCAUGGUGGGCCCAAAUGAUGGGAUUAUCCUGAUUGGUUUAGAUUCCUCAGUAUUUAUUUACCCCUGAGAAGGGACAGGGGUCAAUGUCCCUGUGGGAGCUGCCAGAACCAAGGCUGUCGGGGUUGUUCAUAGGAUGGUGUUGGGUGGGCAAGUUUAGGGCUGGGUUGGAAGGAGGACUCUGCUUGGAGCACUCUCUGUGAGCAGAGCACCUAGUCCUGGUGCCUGGUGAUCACAGAGUAGGUGAUCAAUAGAUCGUUGAGUGAAUGAACACAUGGAUGGAUGAAUGAAUCCCAGAACACUGGAGUUAGCACCUGCGUUUUCCAGCUGCAGAAACUGAAACUUGACACUGAGUCACUUGCUGAUAAGUGGCAGCGCUGGGAUUCGAACCCCGGCUCCAGGGCCGUGUCUCAUCCUACCUCCCACACUUUUUACCGGAACAGUUGUUGACUCAGCCCUGGGUGCCCCGGGGCGGGGGUGGGGGGGUGGUGGACAGCUAGACCCAGAGAUGAGGAGGCAAGGGUGGGGUACAGCAAGACAGCCUCCUGGGGGAAGGUAUAGUGAGUAAUAAUCACACUGACAAUCAGAGUUGUGUUCAGCUCGAGCCCCCACAUUGGGAGCUCUUUAUCCUACACAAAUCUCCUUCCCACCAUCGGCUGAUCCAGCCCUCACCUGGAUCAAUCCGCACCUGGAUGUAGCGAUCUACUUCCGUGGGGCGGGCGCCUAGCCCAGGGCAGUGACGGCGGAU